This 4532-nucleotide long non-coding RNA is filed under the name Marmota monax (woodchuck). Lineage: Eukaryota; Metazoa; Chordata; Mammalia; Rodentia; Sciuridae. The record is from RNAcentral.
GCUAUUUCCCUAGGUAUCUCAUGCUCCUGAAAGCCUUGUCCAGUCAUUCUUUGAUUCUCCUGCCUUGUUCCUAUACCACAACAGCUGCAGGGGCCUGGGAUGUGGUAUCUACAAAUGGGGUAUUUCCUACCCCAUACUAACAGCGGAUUGAUCCUGUACCAUCUUCCCAGAACUGAUGUGCACCAUUUCUUGACUGUGUUUGAGCCUGGAGAGCCUGAAUCCCCAGCCAUGGAACUACUGGACAUGUUCCUAGCUCAACUUGAUUGUAGAGAAAAGGGCAGGGAAUGACAGACAAUAUAUGUGGUAGGGUUUUCCUGCCUGCAUUUUUGGUCACAUGGGCCUGAAGGAAGGACCUUUGAGAACUUUAUUGUCAUUUUCCUAGCACUUUAGGAGGAAAAUGAAACCCUUUUCCUUCUAGAUCCUCUGCACUGCCUCUCUCCCCAACACACUCACUCACACACACACACACACACACACACACACACACACACACAUAUCUGGGAGGCCUGGUGCCAUGAUUCCCCAACUCAUCCUAAAUUUCUGUACCUGUGACAACUCUGGAGCCAGCACAUUUGUCUGGGUCUUCCUCCUCACAAAUAGGUCUCUAAACUUCUUCAGUGGAGAUUCAAAUCAGUGUGUUUUUGAUUUUUAAAAUGGACUUUCUUAAAAUUCCUUUCAGUUUAAUUUAUCUUCUCUUGCUUCUUUUGUUCCUUUAUGGGGCAUGUUCUCUAGCUUCUCAGGGCCAAGUCAGAGCUCAGAGCUUUGGUCUUUGAGGUGACAGUGAAGUUCCUGAGGUCUGCGAUAGGGCACUGCACUGAGGAGCUAAGUUUCUUAAUGGGGCCUGGCCCUAGGGCAGCUCAAAGACCAUUUGGUGCUUUCUUGGUUUAGAGAAAAGCCAGUCAAUUUCUCCUGUGUGUUCACCACCAGUUUCACAUGCUUCUCAGCAUGAAAUGGAACUGCUUUCUCCAUGCUUUCUAGUGGAACAGUGUAGAUAAGACCCUCAGGACUCAGGGGUGAAUACCAUGGGCUUUAGGUCUCCUCUAAUGUCCCUAUUGGGCCACUUGGACUGCUGUCCAUUCCUUCAUAGUGGGUCAAGUUUGAAAAAGAAAAGUGCUCAAGUGAGUGAAGAACCUGGCUCUUUGCUUGGGAGCAGCAUUUAGAGUUCAGGUUGUUGGAGGUUAACUUAAUUAGCAAAAGUCAAGACUGAAGAUAGAGCACAGUUAUUCUGAGUUAAGAAUAUUGAAAUCCACUACAUUAAUGGGUGCUGCACUUAAUAUUUUGCAAUGUGCUUUCACAGUCAUCAUCUCAUUGGAUCUUUACACAGACUCUGAGGUGGGCAAGGCAGGGAUUAUUAUCCCCAAUUUGCUAAUGAGGAAACUAAAACUCAGAGAUGGAAAGUGACUGGUCUUAAGUUACUCAGUGACAUAGGUGUGAAUGUAUAGACUAGAAUGCUUUCAUACCCUAUCCAAUAUCUUGAAAUCUUUAUUUUCUAAAGGACAGUGUUUUUUGAUAGGAAGAUUUUUUCCAUAUCUUUUCCAGCAAACAACUCUUUGGAAGGAAAAGUUCCUGAUAUCUGUAUGAGAAUGAAGUACGGUUAUUGCCCACCAUGCCAAGACUGACCUCCCCACUUAACGGCCAGUUUCCCCUAUCUGCUACCACCAGCCUAGUACAUUUUCUGCUUGGUCUGUUCCUAGCAAGAAGCCAAGACUUUAAAUUUUGCACCACCUUUCAAAAGCUCAGAAAUUGAGAAGGGUUAUAAGGCUAGACAGGACUCUUCCUGUUUGUCUUAUCUUCUUUUUGCCCCUGAGGUAUGGAAGGGAAUAAAGGCUGGAGUCAGAUUAUUUUUAAUCCUUCCACAAAUAGAUUGUGUAUAUUUAACCAAACCUAUCAAUAAUAACACUUCUGUGUUUUAGAGUUUAAAAAGGAUCAUUCAUAUGUUAUGAAUAUUUUAAAGAUGACAAAACUGAGGCCCAGUAGUGCUUUACCCAGAAUAAUUCAUUUUUGAGAAAGAGCUUGCCCUGCAAAUCAACCCCAGGCCCAAGUGUGGACCCCAUGACUGAGAGUGGAGGUCAGGGAAAGGCAAAUAGAGCAGAAACUACUCUUGGAUAUAGCAGGGGGGCAGGCAGGGUUACUGAAUGGCCUCUUAUGUUAUUUCUGUUUGUCAACACUGCCUAAAUGGCAUAAGACUGGGGCAAGCUUCAGGAGAUUGAUUAAGGCAGCCAAACUCCACCACCAAGUAAGGCAUUUGGCCCCAUAGUCUGUUAAGUGCUACUAAGGCAGUAGUAGAAUAUUCUAUUGAAAAAUAGCACAUGAUUCACUUGUAUCUUAAUCCAUCUGGGACAGGAUAGAGGAACUUUUAGCUUUUCUCUCCCUGUAACUUUCACCCCCUGAUGGUCUACAAGAUUUUUUCUGCCUUCUUCUAGAUCCCCUUAGAUUCCUGGCAUUCUCUGGGUUUUCUGAAUGUUUGAAGAGCAAUGGUACUGAGUUUGUAGCAUAGGGCAGCACACACAAUUUACCUCUUGAUCUCCUGGGCCUCAGCCUAUAUUUGAGGUGCUAUAUCUCUCUACACCCAGCAGGGAGCAGGGCUGGAGUUUGCCCACUUACAACUUUACAUUUGUAACAUUUCUGAGCCAAGGUGGCUUUCCUUCUGGUGCCUGGGUUCCUCAAACUACCUCCCAGCCAUUCCCCAAAGACACUCCCAAUUCAUAUAGGCUGAGUGAGGAGGGGAAAGUGACCCAACUCCCUCUUUGUAUUGACAUGUCAAUUAGAUCCCAGCUGUCCCAGCACUCUUUUCCAUUUGAUACUUUUUUGAAAUGUCUUUUUUUUCUUUAGUUCCCACCUAUACAUCUCAUGAUCAGAGAAGCAUGCUCCUUUGAAGGUUGUAUUAUUCUUCAUUAUCUGAGAAUCUUUCUGAAGCUUGUACAGCUAGUUCCUAUUCCACAAGUACUUAGUGGUUAAUUCAGUACCUUUAGGCAGAAUGUGCACUUCAUCACCAGGUCCUAGCCCUGACAAAGAGUGUUCACUACAGCAAUACUCCUUCUAUGAUUUUAUUAAAUGCAUCUUUGAGAACAGUCCACCUACAAACACUGAUUAAGGGCCCCUUGGCAGCCCAUUGAUCAGGGUGCUAAAAGCACCUAGGUGAAAGCAAAGAGGUCCCAUUGUACUGGAUGGAGGAUUAGAAGCAAUUGAAUUUCAAGUCUGCACCAAGCAGCCUGGCCUCACCAAGGUAUUAACAAAUAUGUGUGAGCCAUGGUUUAGACCUUGGCCUUUAGGUUCUCUGUUCUCUUUUUCUGGGACAGUUUAUUCUUAUCUCACUGGCUUUAAUUAGUCAUGUCUACACCUUCUGGUAGGGGAAGAACUAGUACCCAAACAGAGGGUGAUUCAGCCUAAACAGGUCCCAGGUGUUUAAAGGUCACCAUAUGCCUGGUAGUGGUUCAAGCCCAAGUCUAACACUGCCACUCUGUGAGAAAGAUAGAAAUUAUAACACAAUAACAUUAACAGUUACCCUACUUCACUGUCCCUGCCUAUAGUCUGAACAUUGUAUGACUAUACUAGAAUCACCUUGCCACCUUGAUUCCAAUUUUCUGAAAUUUAACAAUUGGAUUUAGCAACUGGAAUGGGACAAUUAAGUUUUGUUUUGCUCUGCUUUUUAAGGUAUAUUGGAUAGACAUGAAGUGAAGGAUUUUUUUUCUUUAUAAUUGCUAUUUGGCCACAGCCAAUAUUACAUUUGGGUGUUUGGUCCAAGAUAGUCCUUUUAAAGGUUUCCUGAUCAUUGUUUUUAAAGCGGAAGCAUCUUUGAGCACUCUACUUUUAAAAAAAAAAAAAAAUUUAGUUGUAGAUGGACAUAACAUCUUUAUUUUGUUUGUUUACUUUUUCAUGUGGUGCUGGGGAUCAAACCCAGUGUGUCACACAUGGUAGGCAAGCACUCUACUGCUGAGCUACAACCCUAGCCCCUGAGCACUAUGCUUUUUUAUAUUUUCCACUUGAGGGUUGUUGGUCAGUGAAAGCAAAAAAGUGCGCAUGAUAGAAUCAUUUUCAAUAUACCCCGAUCCUAGACAAUAGUUGAGUUGUCCAUAUUUUAAGUAGCAAAGAACAUUGGUUUUUGUUUGUAAAGGAGAGGGAAAUGGUUGCUGUCAAAGAGUAGGCAUUUUUGGUUGAUGUGGAUUUUGACCAGAAGUAGUCUGUGAAAGGAACUUUUUCCUCCAAGGUUCUCAAAUCCAGGCUUGGUAAGGGUGUCUGAUACUACAGCACUAUUCUCGCCAACACACAGCCCUGCCACACUGAGAUCAUCAAACCUUCUGUUCCCCUCCUACUCCCCACCUCACUACCAAGUUCUUCAGUGUUUUAUAUUGAAUGUAGGUUCAUCUUAAUUACCUUUUCCCUCAUGAAUGAGUUAUUUAUAGAGAUUUUGUUAAAUCUUGAGCCAUAUGCAUGUGUGGAUAUUGGCAGGGUUCUGUUUGAUUUAUGAUACUGUGCAAACAUUUUAUAUUAUCCAAUAAACAGAAAUACAUACAAAUAUCUUGUUUAUUCCU